This 497-nucleotide ribosomal RNA is filed under the name uncultured bacterium. Its description in RNAcentral is "partial 16S ribosomal RNA". It matches the Rfam family "Bacterial small subunit ribosomal RNA", at positions 28 to 507 of the family's 1533-position model. The record is from RNAcentral.
GAUGAACGCUGGCGGCGUGCCUAAUACAUGCAAGUCGAGCGAACAGAUGAGGAGCUUGCUCCUCUGACGUUAGCGGCGGACGGGUGAGUAACACGUGGAUAACCUACCUAUAAGACUGGGAUAACUUCGGGAAACCGGAGCUAAUACCGGAUAAUAUAUUGAACCGCAUGGUUCAAUAGUGAAAGACGGUUUUGCUGUCACUUAUAGAUGGAUCCGCGCCGCAUUAGCUAGUUGGUAAGGUAACGGCUUACCAAGGCAACGAUGCGUAGCCGACCUGAGAGGGUGAUCGGCCACACUGGAACUGAGACACGGUCCAGACUCCUACGGGAGGCAGCAGUAGGGAAUCUUCCGCAAUGGGCGAAAGCCUGACGGAGCAACGCUGCGUGAGUGAUGAAGGUCUUCGGAUCGUAAAACUCUGUUAUUAGGGAAGAACAAAUGUGUAAGUAACUAUGCACGUCUUGACGGUACCUAAUCAGAAAGCCACGGCUAACUACGUG